Molecule: ribosomal RNA, 397 nt
Filed under: Remiarctus bertholdii
Lineage: Eukaryota; Metazoa; Arthropoda; Malacostraca; Decapoda; Scyllaridae
Description: partial 12S ribosomal RNA
Source: RNAcentral
UAGAUACCCUGUUAUACUAGAAUCAAAACAAUAGUAACCUUGAGUAUUAACAAUUAAUUGGUUCGAAAUUCAAAGAGUUUGGCGGUAUUUUAGUCUAGUUAGAGGAACCUGUUUUAUAAACGAUACUCCGCGUAAAAUCUUUCUCGUUCUAGUUAAAGCUAGUAUACCAUCAUUGUCAGAUAAUUUUAUUUAUUAAAAAAUUAUUGUAAUUGAGCAAAUUCAAAUAUAUUAGAUCACGGUGCUGCUAAUGAACGAGUAUGAAUGGGUUACAAUAAUUUUAAUUUAUAACGGAUUUAUAAAUGAAAAUACUAUAAAGAAGGUGGAUUUGAUAGUAACAUAAGUUUAACAUGUCUAUGUGAGAUUAGCUCUAAAAUAUGUACAUAUCGGCCGUCGCAUG